This 1490-nucleotide long non-coding RNA is filed under the name Homo sapiens (human). RNAcentral describes it as "PREDICTED lncRNA (TCONS_00112311)". The record is from RNAcentral. Lineage: Eukaryota; Metazoa; Chordata; Mammalia; Primates; Hominidae.
GGGAGGAGUUAAAGCAAAAAUCAGCAGCUAAUGAGGGGCAAUCUGUAAACCACCAACCACCCCUUCCCCCAACCUUUACUCCUGUUCCAAGUGAAUUUCUGCUGCUAAGUUAUGGGUAGAAGCAAAAAACCACUUUGUGGAGGGAGAGGAAGGAAACCACGUCGCUCUAUGAUAAAAGCCUUGCACCUGGUAAAAAGCAACAGCCUGCUACCACUGCAGGUGGGGCAGGAAGCUUCCAGUUCCCAUUCCCAAGCAAAGAUAAUUUGCAGCUGAGAUUUGCAACAAGGACCCAGCACGGAUACAAAGCAGAGACAGGCUCUCACCACGGCGGGGGAGAGGACGCUCUCACAGGUCCAGAACCUCUCAACAGAUACAAGUCACCAAUGCUGCUCAUUGCAAUGUAUGGAGUGAAAGAGGCUGCCAUCGGUAUCCAGAAGAAGGUGUUACUUCGGUACCCAUACUCAUAAUCCAUAUGCUCCUGAAAUCAUGUGGAACAUGCAACUAGGACCUUCUGAACACGUAGCCUGAUUUACUUAUGAAGAAGCAAAUUCAACCAAGUGAUACGAAUUGUCUAAGGUCAUACAGUUAAUAACUUGUAAGAGCCCAGCACAGCACAGAUUUACAAAAUGAUACACAAAGACCUCAGAGUUUCCAGCCUGGUGUUCUGCCUUGUGGAUUUCAGAUUUGCCAAGCCCCACAAUUACAUAAUGAAAUUCCUUAAAGAAGCGAACUUUUGCUAUUGCACAGACCUGCUGCCUCCAGAGCGCCACGCCACUGAUUGUUUUCCUUGUUUCGUGGAAGGAAGACAAAACUUGUUCCAGCUCAACAAGGCUUCCUAUAUCUUUUGCCCCAUCAGUUUAAACACCUCAUUCAAAGUUGUUAUGGAAACACCAUAAUCCUCAAUGCCUUGGCUGGAAUGCAGUGGCUCAAUUUUGGUUCACUGCAACCUGCACCUCCCAGAUUCAAGUGAUCCUCCUGCUUCAGCCUCCCGAGUAGCUGGGAUUACAGUGGUACAUCCUGUAGUUGAGGGCUUCUUACACCUGAUGAAAUACCAUAGGUUCUGCAUGUCAGAUGGAGUCUCACUCUGUCACCCAGGCUGCAGUCCAGUAGCAUGAUCCCGGCUCACUACAACCUCUGCUUCCCGGGUUCAAGCAAUUCUCCUGCUUGUGAUUUCCUCCAUUUGGAUUAGAUAAGACUGUGCUGCAAUAGGACUUUUUUGGGCUUAGAAUGAGAAAAAAGGAGGGCAUUCUCAACAAGGAAGUCCAUUUCAGAGUGAAAACAUGAAACAGUAAAAUACUUCAGUAGUUGGGCAGAAGACAGAAGAAUAAUGUCUUAACUGGACUGCGGUAGGAUACAAUGAGUUUAUAUCUAGCAGAACCUUUCAUUUAGCAUAUUAUAGUUAUGAUAUCAUAACUAAAAUUAACUUUUCUGAGACAAGGUUCAGUUUCAUGUAGAAAUGAGCAAUUAAAAAAUAAAGAUAUAUUUAUUCC